AGAGUUUGAUCAUGGCUCAGAACGAACGUUAGCGGCGCGCCUAACACAUGCAAGUCGCACGAGAAGGGGCUUCGGCCCUGGUAAAGUGGCGCACGGGUGAGUAACACGUGGGUAACGUUCCCUCGGGCGGGGGAUAACCCUUCGAAAGGAGGGCUAAUACCGCAUAAGACCACGGCCUCGAAAGAGGUUGAGGUAAAAGC
Molecule: ribosomal RNA, 200 nt
Filed under: uncultured bacterium
Lineage: Bacteria
Description: partial 16S ribosomal RNA
Rfam family: Bacterial small subunit ribosomal RNA
Source: RNAcentral